Molecule: non-coding RNA, 1069 nt
Organism: Salmo salar (Atlantic salmon)
Lineage: Eukaryota; Metazoa; Chordata; Actinopteri; Salmoniformes; Salmonidae
Source: RefSeq, a predicted model, not a curated record
CUAUCCCCUCAACCCUCAAAUUAAGUGGACACUUCUGAUGACGUAUCAUGGCGUCUGAUGAGUUGAACUUGCAGGGCGAGGGAAGAAUUCAUUGAUUUUAAAUGGACCACUAUUGCCCGGAGCAUGCUAGGCUAUCACUCGUUCAUACCAAGGAUAUGUUUUCUGUCAUCAUGGAACUGUUAUGUGUGCCUUAUAUGCGCUACAGUCAAUUAUGAUUGCAUUUCAUAUCUUGGCUAGAAGACAACGCCUCCCUCCGCAGACAUCGAAUGUUAGCCAUCCUAGUAUAUCAGGCCCCGGAGUGAACAUAAUUGUACACUCGCAAACUCGAUCAAAAAUGAGGGCUGAGGGGCUUACGUUGUCAACUUUCCUUGAUUGGCUAAUCAUUUGGACCAACGACAAAGAUGGCCGCGGGGAUUCCCUCAAGUGCAUAAGGCGAGGGUAAGUGGAGGAGUGUGUGUCUUUUAUGAGUUUGAAACGCAGCCUCGGUCUUCCAUAAACACGAGCUGUAACAUGGAUAUAUGGCCGUGUGGGAACACUAGCCCUACCCCUACAAAGGUGAGUAUCAAUUUAACAAAAAUUAUUUAUCGCUGAUAUGAUCAUAUUGCUUAACAAAAGACAUGUGUAAGGCAAUGGAACAGAGUCAUGAUCAAGAGCUAGGGAAAGUCUAUAAUCAGGUUAAUUGACACACAAAGAUGAAUGUAAAAUGGCAGGAAUAUAAUUUGGUUAAUUUGUUUAAUCCAAAAGUAUUUAUUAUUGUUUGUUUUAUUAACCCUCUUUCAACUGCUAUGCAGUAGCCUACUGUUUGGAAGCAGUUGGGGUCAACUGUUACAUCGCAUGUUGUCCUCCCUCCAUCCAACCAGAUGACAAAGCAGUCUCUUAUCUACUCCAACACGCUGUACUACCGCUCCAGCAGUUCUGUCGUUAUUGUUCACACAGCAGUUGGUGUCCUUAAAAAUACUGAUUAAGGCCAGAGGCUAAAAUGACCUUUUUGCAUGUUCUUAUCUAUUUUGAGAUUUUUUAGUAUGUUGGUCCAUUAAUAUUAUUAUUAAAAAAUAAAAAGUUAAAAUGA